UACGGAAGGCAGCAGUGGGGAAUAUUGCACAAUGGGCGCAAGCCUGAUGCAGCCAUGCCGCGUGUAUGAAGAAGGCCUUCGGGUUGUAAAGUACUUUCAGUCGUGAGGAAGGUGUUAAGGUUAAUAACCUUAGCAAUUGACGUUAGCGACAGAAGAGGCACCGGCUAACUCCGUGCCAGCAGCCGCGGUAAUACGGAGGGUGCGAGCGUUAAUCGGAAUUACUGGGCGUAAAGGGCACGCAGGCGGUUAAUUAAGUUGGAUGUGAAAUCCCCGGGCUUAACCUGGGAAUGGCAUUCAAGACUGGUUAGCUAGAGUCUUGUAGAGGGGGUAGAAUUCCAUGUGUAGCGGUGAAAUGCGUAGAGAUGUGGAGGAAUACCGGUGGCGAAGGCGGCCCCUGGACAAAGACUGACGCUCAUGUGCGAAAGCGUGGGGAGCAAACAGGGAUUAGAUACC
Molecule: ribosomal RNA, 453 nt
Filed under: uncultured bacterium
Lineage: Bacteria
Description: bacterial SSU rRNA
Rfam family: Bacterial small subunit ribosomal RNA
Source: RNAcentral